RNAcentral lists this ribosomal RNA (253 nucleotides) under uncultured bacterium. RNAcentral describes it as "partial 16S ribosomal RNA". It matches the Rfam family "Bacterial small subunit ribosomal RNA", at positions 524 to 776 of the family's 1533-position model. The record is from RNAcentral.
UACGGGGGGAGCAAGCGUUGUUCGGAUUUACUGGGCGUAAAGAGCUCGUAGGCGGUCUGUUACGUCUGCUGUGAAAACCCGGGGCUUAACCCUGGGCUUGCAGUGGAUACGGGCAGACUAGAGGCAGGUAGGGGAGAAUGGAAUUCCCGGUGUAGCGGUGAAAUGCGCAGAUAUCGGGAGGAACACCGGCGGCGAAGGCGGUUCUCUGGGCCUGACCUGACGCUGAGGAGCGAAAGCGUGGGGAGCGAACAGG